Molecule: non-coding RNA, 75 nt
Organism: Schistocerca nitens (vagrant locust)
Lineage: Eukaryota; Metazoa; Arthropoda; Insecta; Orthoptera; Acrididae
Source: the annotation of a RefSeq genome assembly
GUCCCGGAUGGCGCAGUGGUUACCGCACCUGGUUAGUAAGCAGGAGAACCCGGGUUCGAAUCCCGGUCCGGUACA